GUUGCCAGCUUUGCAUUCACCACGCUCCAGCCGCAGUUGGGAGUGGUGCUCUCUGAUGAGCGACGGAUGAUCAUCGCUGACAUACCUGGGCUCAUAGCUGGGGCAUCUGAUAAUAGAGGCCUUGGACAUUCUUUCCUGAGGCACAUCGAGCGUACCAGCAUGCUCGCAUUUGUAGUUGAUCUCAGCACUGGACUGCACGGUGAUGGGGGCCUCCCACCGUGCCAACAGCUAAAGAUGCUGCAGGUUGGGCAUCCUCCUACCCACACGGCCAGUUGUUUGGAAGUCAAUAUGUGCACUGCUGCUGAAACGAACCCCAUACCGAUGUGCCGAGAAUUCGGGUGGACCUUACCUGCAGGAUGAGCUGCGCCUGUACUCGCCCGCGCUGCUUCAGAAGCCUGCUAUAGUGGUCGCUAACAAAACAGAUUUGUUGAAAGAGCACGAAUCUGCCCUGGCAGUGACAACAUUGCAGCAGUCGACAGAUUUACCUGCUGUAGCUGUGUCUGCACUGAAGCGGGAUGGCAUUUCUGUUUUGAGGGAUGCUCUUUUGCAGCACAAUCUACGCCCUGAUCUGCGACAUCAUCCCACACAGUGAAGUGAUGAAAAACACAUCUUGAGAUCUUGAGCUGAGUGGCAUUCGUUCAUUCAUUCGCAAACAAGGUCUAUCAGAUCUGCUACUUGAGGAGUGUACCAUGCUUGUAAUCUGCACCAUCUGAUGUUUUGUUGGCCAA
This 728-nucleotide long non-coding RNA is filed under the name Coccomyxa subellipsoidea. RNAcentral's name for it is "long non-coding RNA (CSUB_LNC000635)". Lineage: Eukaryota; Viridiplantae; Chlorophyta; Trebouxiophyceae; Coccomyxaceae. The record is from RNAcentral.